UACAGCACUUUGUUUUUAUUUUCUAUCAACAAAUUUGUCAUGUUAUUUUCCUAUGUGGUAACAAUCUGAUAUCCUUCUUCCAGGUGAUAUAAGUUCAAAUAUCGAAAGUUCCCAUGCUUCAACUGGUGAAGCUGCUAACCAACUUACUAAAGCAUCCAAUACUCAAAGAUCUACAUCAUCCAUGGUUUGUGGUGGAUUAAAUGAGUCGUACGUUGAGCUGAAGAGGCUUAUGAAUUCACAAGAAAAGUUGUACCAUAUGGCUAGCUAGUUGCAUAUUUAAUAUGUUUAGUAUUUUUGUAAGGCAUAAUAGUAUAGAUAGAGCAGUUGUUGAAUUUUGACUAUAUUCAAAUCUUGUAUGAAUUCUUUUUUAUGAUAAUAAUAUAAAAUUAAAUA
Long non-coding RNA from Salvia miltiorrhiza (redroot sage), 393 nucleotides. RefSeq lists it as uncharacterized. The record is from RefSeq and is a predicted model, not a curated record. The transcript has 2 exons. NCBI's taxonomy places the organism in Eukaryota, Viridiplantae, Streptophyta, Magnoliopsida, Lamiales, Lamiaceae.